RNAcentral lists this ribosomal RNA (502 nucleotides) under uncultured bacterium. Its description in RNAcentral is "partial 16S ribosomal RNA". It matches the Rfam family "Bacterial small subunit ribosomal RNA", at positions 30 to 523 of the family's 1533-position model. The record is from RNAcentral.
AUUGAACGCUGGCGGCAUGCCUUACACAUGCAAGUCGAACGGCAGCACGGGUGCUUGCACCUGGUGGCGAGUGGCGAACGGGUGAGUAAUACAUCGGAACGUACCUUAUCGCGGGGGAUAACGCAGCGAAAGCUGUGCUAAUACCGCAUACGCCCUGAGGGGGAAAGCGGGGGAUCGAAAGACCUCGCGCGAUUAGAGCGGCCGAUGCCUGAUUAGCUAGUUGGUGAGGUAAAGGCUCACCAAGGCGACGAUCCGUAGCUGGUUUGAGAGGACGACCAGCCACACUGGGACUGAGACACGGCCCAGACUCCUACGGGAGGCAGCAGUGGGGAAUUUUGGACAAUGGGGGCAACCCUGAUCCAGCCAUUCCGCGUGUGCGAUGAAGGCCUUCGGGUUGUAAAGCACUUUUGGCAGGAAAGAAAUCGCACGGAUUAAUACUCUGUGUGGAUGACGGUACCUGCAGAAUAAGCACCGGCUAACUACGUGCCAGCCGCCGCAGUAA